RNAcentral lists this ribosomal RNA (252 nucleotides) under uncultured bacterium. RNAcentral's name for it is "partial 16S ribosomal RNA". It matches the Rfam family "Bacterial small subunit ribosomal RNA", at positions 524 to 776 of the family's 1533-position model. The record is from RNAcentral.
UACGUAGGGGGCGAGCGUUAUCCGGAUUCAUUGGGCGUAAAGCGCGCGUAGGCGGCCGCCUAAGCGGAACCUCUAACCCCGGGGCUCAACCUCGGGCCGGGUUCCGGACUGGGCGGCUCGAGUGCGGUAGAGGAGAGCGGAAUUCCCGGUGUAGCGGUGGAAUGCGCAGAUAUCGGGAAGAACCCCGAUGGCGAAGGCAGCUCUCUGGGCCGUCACUGACGCUGAGGCGCGAAAGCUGGGGGAGCGAACAGG